RNAcentral lists this ribosomal RNA (1461 nucleotides) under uncultured organism. Its description in RNAcentral is "SSU rRNA". It matches the Rfam family "Bacterial small subunit ribosomal RNA". The record is from RNAcentral.
UGGCGGCGUGCCUAAUACAUGCAAGUAGAACGCUGAAGAGAGGAGCUUGCUCUUCUUGGAUGAGUUGCGAACGGGUGAGUAACGCGUAGGUAACCUGCCUUGUAGCGGGGGAUAACUAUUGGAAACGAUAGCUAAUACCGCAUAACAAUGGAUGACACAUGUCAUUUAUUUGAAAGGGGCAAUUGUUCCACUACAAGAUGGACCUGCGUUGUAUUAGCUAGUAGGUGAGGUAAUGGCUCACCUAGGCGACGAUACAUAGCCGACCUGAGAGGGUGAUCGGCCACACUGGGACUGAGACACGGCCCAGACUCCUACGGGAGGCAGCAGUAGGGAAUCUUCGGCAAUGGGGGCAACCCUGACCGAGCAACGCCGCGUGAGUGAAGAAGGUUUUCGGAUCGUAAAGCUCUGUUGUAAGUCAAGAACGGGUGUGAGAGUGGAAAGUUCACACUGUGACGGUAGCUUACCAGAAAGGGACGGCUAACUACGUGCCAGCAGCCGCGGUAAUACGUAGGUCCCGAGCGUUGUCCGGAUUUAUUGGGCGUAAAGCGAGCGCAGGCGGUUUGAUAAGUCUGAAGUUAAAGGCUGUGGCUCAACCAUAGUUCGCUUUGGAAACUGUCAAACUUGAGUGCAGAAGGGGAGAGUGGAAUUCCAUGUGUAGCGGUGAAAUGCGUAGAUAUAUGGAGGAACACCGGUGGCGAAAGCGGCUCUCUGGUCUGUAACUGACGCUGAGGCUCGAAAGCGUGGGGAGCGAACAGGAUUAGAUACCCUGGUAGUCCACGCCGUAAACGAUGAGUGCUAGGUGUUGGAUCCUUUCCGGGAUUCAGUGCCGCAGCUAACGCAUUAAGCACUCCGCCUGGGGAGUACGACCGCAAGGUUGAAACUCAAAGGAAUUGACGGGGGCCCGCACAAGCGGUGGAGCAUGUGGUUUAAUUCGAAGCAACGCGAAGAACCUUACCAGGUCUUGACAUCCCGAUGCUAUUUCUAGAGAUAGAAAGUUACUUCGGUACAUCGGUGACAGGUGGUGCAUGGUUGUCGUCAGCUCGUGUCGUGAGAUGUUGGGUUAAGUCCCGCAACGAGCGCAACCCCUAUUGUUAGUUGCCAUCAUUCAGUUGGGCACUCUAGCGAGACUGCCGGUAAUAAACCGGAGGAAGGUGGGGAUGACGUCAAAUCAUCAUGCCCCUUAUGACCUGGGCUACACACGUGCUACAAUGGUUGGUACAACGAGUUGCGAGUCGGUGACGGCGAGCUAAUCUCUUAAAGCCAAUCUCAGUUCGGAUUGUAGGCUGCAACUCGCCUACAUGAAGUCGGAAUCGCUAGUAAUCGCGGAUCAGCACGCCGCGGUGAAUACGUUCCCGGGCCUUGUACACACCGCCCGUCACACCACGAGAGUUUGUAACACCCGAAGUCGGUGAGGUAACCUUUUGGAGCCAGCCGCCUAAGGUGGGACAGAUGAUUGGGGUG